Molecule: RNA transcript, 784 nt
Organism: Pan troglodytes (chimpanzee)
Lineage: Eukaryota; Metazoa; Chordata; Mammalia; Primates; Hominidae
Exons: 3
Source: RefSeq, a predicted model, not a curated record
AUGCCUGCUCCGGCAGUGGGAGCUCAGUGCCAGGCUGUGCGCGUCCAGUCCUCGCACUGCUGUGUGUUCUGGUCAGAAUGGAAGUGGUGGCCUCCACUAGGAGCUUCUGUGCUUUGGGAGAAUUUGUCCAAACCGUGGUCCCGUUUGUUCUCCAAUCCUGUGUGGACACCAUGACCCAGUUGUUCACCAUCGUGUCGCUUUGGGGAAAAGACGAGCCCGCCCGGUUCCUCUCUGUGCACCUCAUGCCUGGGGCUCCGUCCCGUCCUGGGUGGGUUUUCACCCGCACCGCUGGCCCCUCCCCCGGGAGCGUUGGUGGAGCCGGCUUUCUCAGCCAGGAGCCUGUUGCUGGGUCAGCGGCUGGAGCUCAAGGUCGGCUCAGGGGACUUUCUCGUGCUGGAGGUUGGCUGCGGAGCAGCCUGCGUUUCUCGGAAAACAGGGCCCAGGGCCUGCUCCACGCCGCUGUCCACGUCUUCACCAUCCCCUCGUUGCAGGUUCGAGGCCGAGCUCAGACCUGUGGAGCAGAAGCUGAGUGCGCUGCGGUCCCCGCUGGCCCAGAGGCCCUUCUUCGAGGUGCCCUCACCCCUGGGCGCCGUGGACCUGUACGAGUAUGCAUGCGGGGAUGAGGACCUGGAGCCACUGUGACGCCACCCAUGAGAACGUCGCCACAGGGCCGCUCCACACGUGCCACGGCCACCACUGGGACACCGCCGCUUGUGUAAAAACUGUUGUCUUUUGUGGAAAAUGAGUGCGUUUGCAUGGAAUGAUAAAUUUUUAUUUAUUCACA